RNAcentral lists this ribosomal RNA (274 nucleotides) under uncultured bacterium. Its description in RNAcentral is "partial 16S ribosomal RNA". It matches the Rfam family "Bacterial small subunit ribosomal RNA", at positions 523 to 796 of the family's 1533-position model. The record is from RNAcentral.
AAACGUAGGAGGCGAACGUUAUCCGGAUUUACUGGGCGUAAAGCGCGCGCAGGCGGCUUCGUAAGUCCGACGUGAAAGCUCCCGGCUCAACUGGGAGAGGUCGUCGGAUACUGCGGAGCUUGAGGGUAGGAGAGGGAAGUGGAAUUCCCGGUGUAGCGGUGGAAUGCGUAGAUAUCGGGAGGAACUCCAGUGGCGAAGGCGACUUCCUGGCCUACACCCGACGCUGAGGCGCGAAAGCGUGGGGAGCAAACAGGAUUAGAAACCCUAGUAGUCC